GAUGAACGCUAGCUACAGGCUUAACACAUGCAAGUCGAACGCUUCUUUUUCCAUCGGAGCUUGCUCCACCGGAAAAAGAGGAGUGGCGAACGGGUGAGUAACACGUGGGUAACCUGCCCAUCAGAAGGGGAUAACACUUGGAAACAGGUGCUAAUACCGUAUAACAAUCGAAACCGCAUGGUUUUGAUUUGAAAGGCGCUUUCGGGUGUCGCUGAUGGAUGGACCCGCGGUGCAUUAGCUAGUUGGUGAGGUAACGGCUCACCAAGGCGACGAUGCAUAGCCGACCUGAGAGGGUGAUCGGGCCACAUUGGGACUGAGACACGGGCCCAAACUCCUACGGGAGGCAGCAGUAGGGAAUCUUCGGGCAAUGGACGAAAGUCUGACCGAGCAACGCCGCGUGAGUGAAGAAGGUUUUCGGAUC
RNAcentral lists this ribosomal RNA (421 nucleotides) under uncultured bacterium. Its description in RNAcentral is "bacterial SSU rRNA". It matches the Rfam family "Bacterial small subunit ribosomal RNA", at positions 28 to 424 of the family's 1533-position model. The record is from RNAcentral.